AUGGACUUAUUUGGCCCUACUCACUACUCUACUCUCACUACCACUGCUUGUCUCUAUGGCUUCGUCAUUGUUGAUGAUUAUUCAAGAUAUACAUGGGUGCAUAUAAUUCUCUACAAGACUGAAGUGCAGGAUGUCUUCAGACGCUUCGCCAACCAUGCUGUGAACAACUAUGUCGUCAAGAUCAAGCACAUCAGAAGUGACAACGGCACAGAGUUCAAGAACACCGGCCUCGACCUUUACCUGGAUACAUUAGGCAUCACCCACGAGUUCUCCGCUCCAUACACUCCUCAGCAAAAUAGCAUCAUGGAGCGCAAGAACAGAACACUCAUUGAGAUGGCUCGGACGAUGCUUGAUGAAUACAAGACUCCAAGAAAGUUCUGGCCUGAAGCUAUUGAUACUGCAUGCCAUGUCAUCAACCGUGUUUAUCUUCACAAGCUUCUGAAGAAGACAUCCUAUGAACUCCUCACUGGUAAGAAGCCAAAUGUCAGUUACUUCAGAGUAUUUGGUGCUUAG
RNAcentral lists this ribosomal RNA (513 nucleotides) under Triticum aestivum (bread wheat). RNAcentral's name for it is "partial small subunit ribosomal RNA". Lineage: Eukaryota; Viridiplantae; Streptophyta; Magnoliopsida; Poales; Poaceae. The record is from RNAcentral.